UCCAGUCAGGUGAGGUGCCCAGAGUACCUCCGAGCAGCACCACCGCCUUGCUGACAGUGACUGUGUGUCCCCCUAGCAACCCUCGAUGAUGUUGUGGAGGCCGGCGGGAGUGAGAAGACGGAGGAAGAGGCCCUGGCUGGGGCAAAUGAGGAGGAGGUGGGGCCGGGAACUGAGAAGGUGCAGGAGGAGGCUGCCUGCAUUGACGAGGCAGAGGAGGAGGCAGGCCCAUCCCUUGAAAAUGACGAGGAGUCCCCAGCCAGCGACCUGGUUGAGCAGGAAGACCAGCUUGCCCCCAAGGUGGACGGGAUGGACGAUGAAAGCCGUAAGUAUUCUGGAACCCGGCUCUGCUGAGGAGAAGUCCAGGUGUUGAGGAAGGGCGGGGGGUGCUUUCCUGCCCCUUUGGUUGCAGAGACACCCUGAUUCUGGGUUCCUCCUGGGAAAGGGGGUGAAGGAUGGGGUGAAAGAGACUGACUUCCCACAAAAGGGCCAUCCCAAGUCCUCGGGUCCCUGGAGGAAAGGAGGCUCUUUGUAUGGUGGGGGUAGGUGUCCGGGAACAUUGGGGGGUGUGCGUGUGAGGGCCUGUUGGUGUGAUUGUGAACCAGUGUGAGUGGGUGUGUUUUGUGGGGAGUCACUUGUGCCUUAGCACCACAUAGCUGUCCAGUUUCUCGUUGAACAGUCUCAUGAUGACCGCAGGCUAACUGUCCAUUCCCUCAUUCUCCCUGCACCCGCUGGGAGCAAGGUUUGGGGAAAAGGCUUUCCUUCCUCUGUUGGUCUUUCGUUUCCUCUUUUCUUCCCCUCUGCUUGGUGCAGACUUUCAUGCUGUUGUUUCAAACAUGUGCCAUGAACUCGAGCCUCUUGAGGUUGUAAGUGUCCCGAGGAGUGUUGUGAACGCUGUGCUCCCCCCGCACCUCCUGCCCACUCGGGGCAGCCACCCUUCCAGCCUCUGCUCAGGAGUGGUCUUUCAGACACCUCAUGUGCAUGACAUCAGAG
This 990-nucleotide long non-coding RNA is filed under the name Sus scrofa (pig). RNAcentral describes it as "lncRNA (ENSSSCG00070003185.1)". Lineage: Eukaryota; Metazoa; Chordata; Mammalia; Artiodactyla; Suidae. The record is from RNAcentral.